This is an RNA transcript of Oryza sativa Japonica Group (Japanese rice), 2190 nucleotides long. It is a transcript of the gene named rust resistance kinase Lr10-like, with no coding region annotated. NCBI's taxonomy places the organism in Eukaryota, Viridiplantae, Streptophyta, Magnoliopsida, Poales, Poaceae. The record is from RefSeq and is a predicted model, not a curated record.
UCUUUGUAUUAUUGUUCAUGUCAUUUGGCCAUCUAGAUCCGGCUCUGCACAAGCCCACCUGGCAUGGCGAUUCAUGGUGUGUUUCAUUGCUCUACUACUGCUAUCCUGCGGGUAAUUUCUGUCCUGUGUUUGCUUGCAGUUCUUGUCCCAGAUGCAGGUGGGCGGCAUCAUCGGCAUGGCUGCCCUCCGUUCACCUGUGGUAAUCUUAGCAGCGUGUCGUCUCCUUUCCGCCGGCGAGGUGACCCAUCUGAGUGCGGAGUUCUGUCGUACGAGCUCAAUUGUGCCGAUGACAAGGCUACAAUUCAGAUUGACAACGGAACAUACUAUGUGACGGGCAUCAACUACACUGAUUCUACCUUCUUGAUCGUUGAUGCUGACAUCUCGGAUUCACCUAGCAGUUGCCCUCUUCCUCGAUGGAAUUCCCUUCGAGAGCCCAGGUUCCAGGUUCUAUGGACUAGGAUAGCUAGCUUUGUCAAUUGUUCGCAGGAAAUAAAGAAUAGUAGCUGGAUUAUGUACAUGCCUGUCGCUUGCCUGAGCACCAGCAGAUCCUUCGUUUAUGUGUUAACUGGCCAAAAAUCUGCUCUUAUUCAGAGCCUUGAGCCUUCUUGUGGGUACCUAGCCAUGACUCCUUUGGGUGGUCGGGACAGUGUAGCACCAGUAAAUGAAAGCUUAAGCUUAAGCUAUGCAGACGUAGUAAAAUCUAUGAGGAAAGGAUUCAGAGUCCAAUUUCCUUUCAGAUAUCGUACUGGAAGCUUUAAGCAAUGCCCAAUGGAUUCGAUUCCCGCAUCGACUAGUACAGGCAAAACCAAUUGGUUUGGUACCAUUCUUUCGGCGGAUACAAAUUUCCUGCUCUGCAUACCCGUUCAUCAAAUUCCAUCACGUUACCGUAUGCCUUUGGGUAUAAUGUUAUAUGUAAUAGCAUAUGCCUUGCAGAUCUGGAAGAUGAUUGCAGCAACAUGCAGGUUUCUGUUGACGCCCUUGGCUGUAUUGGUUUUCCUUGCACACAAGUACUGGAAAACAAGGGUUACAAUUGAUGCAGUUGAGAAGUUUCUCCGAAUGCAACAAAUGCUCGGACCGACAAGGUAUGCCUACACUGAUAUCACUGCAAUCACAGGCCAUUUCAGAGAGAAGCUUGGCCAAGGAGGUUAUGGCUCUGUAUACAAGGGUGUGCUGCUCCCGGGUGAUCUCCAUGUGGCUGUCAAGAUGCUGAAUGGCAACUCCAACUGUAAUGGAGAAGAAUUCAUCAGUGAAGUUGCCACCAUAGGCAUGAUUCACCAUGUUAAUGUCGUGCGUCUUGUGGGGUUUUGCUCCGAGGAAAUGAGAAGGGCCCUAGUUUAUGAACACAUGCCUAGAGGAUCUCUAGACAAGUAUAUUUACUUGUCUGAGAGAAGUUUCUCAUGGGACAAGAUCAAUGAGAUUGCUCUAGGCAUUGCUAGGGGGAUCAACUACUUGCACCAAGGGUGUGAUAUGUAGAUUCUACACUUUGAUAUCAAGCCACACAACAUCCUUCUUGAUGAUAACUUUGUUCCGAAAGUUGCUGAUUUCGGCCUCGCUAAACUGUACCCGAGGGACAAGAGUUUUGUGCCGGACAGGGCUUUACGGGGAACAGUGGGUUAUAUGGCUCCUGAGAUGGUAUCCCGGAGUUUUGGUGUCAUAUCCAGCAAAUCAGAUGUUUAUAGCUUUGGAAUGCUACUACUUGAGAUGGCUGGAGGAAGAAGAAACGUGGACCCAAAUGCAGAUUCAAGUAAAAGUAAGGCGUACUACCCAUCAUGGGUUUAUGACCAGCUAAUAGCAGAUCAACAAUUUGAUGAGAUAUCAAAUGUUGCUAACAUGCAUGAGCUGGAGAGGAAGCUAUGCCUUGUUGGGCUGUGGUGCAUUCAGAUGAAAUCACACGAUCGACCGACGAUGAGUGAGGCAAUAGAGAUGCUCGAAGGGGGUGUGGAUGCGCUGCAAGUGCCCCCGAGACCAUUUUUCUGCGAUGGGGAUGGCAUUGGCAAUGGCAUGCCACCUCCACAAGUCAUGGAUUCUUACUUUCACUCCUCCAAGCUUACUGCAAUUUCAGAAGAGGGCGAUGGAAUAGCUAAAUUAGCCAGUAGCUAGGUGUUAACAGUGAAAUUUGGCAAGAUAGACUCAGAUUUGGAGUUGGAUAUCGAGGCAAAAUUGAAGAUUGGAUCUUGCCAGAAACGGACU